ACGCUGGCGGCGUGCCUAACACAUGCAAGUCGAGCGAGUGAAUCCCCUUCGGGAGUGAAGCUAGCGGCGGACGGGUGAGUAACACGUGGGCAACCUGCCUCAUAGAGGGGAAUAGCCUUCCGAAAGGAAGAUUAAUACCGCAUAAGAUUGUAGCUUCGCAUGAAGUAGCAAUUAAAGGAGCAAUCCGCUAUGAGAUGGGCCCGCGGCGCAUUAGCUAGUUGGUGAGGUAACGGCUCACCAAGGCGACGAUGCGUAGCCGACCUGAGAGGGUGAUCGGCCACAUUGGGACUGAGACACGGCCCAGACUCCUACGGGAGGCAGCAGGUGGGAAUAUUGCACAAUGGGGAAACCCUGAUGCAGCAACGCCGCGUGAGUGAUGACGGCCUUCGGGUCGUAAAGCUCUGUCUUCAGGGACGAUAAUGACGGUACCUGAGGAGGAAGCCACGGCUAACUACGUG
This 458-nucleotide ribosomal RNA is filed under the name uncultured bacterium. RNAcentral describes it as "bacterial SSU rRNA". It matches the Rfam family "Bacterial small subunit ribosomal RNA", at positions 33 to 507 of the family's 1533-position model. The record is from RNAcentral.